Molecule: small nucleolar RNA, 70 nt
Organism: Cavia aperea (Brazilian guinea pig)
Lineage: Eukaryota; Metazoa; Chordata; Mammalia; Rodentia; Caviidae
Source: Ensembl
UCCAUCUGAGAGGAUCCCUGGCUGCGUGUGAAUCAUAGUGUGAAUACAUGUCUGGAGCUCUGAUGUCUAG